CAAUCCAUGAGUACAGUGGCGACCGGGUGAGUAACACGUGACUACCUACCCUUGAGUGGGGGAUAACCUCGGGAAACCGAGGCUAAUACCGCAUAAUAUCGAGAGAUCAAAGGAGAAAUCCGCUUUUGGAGGGGGUCGCGGCUGAUUAGCUAGUUGGUGAGGUAAUGGCCCACCAAGGCGAAGAUCGGUAUCCGGCCUGAGAGGGCGCACGGACACACUGGAACUGAAACACGGUCCAG
This 239-nucleotide ribosomal RNA is filed under the name uncultured bacterium. RNAcentral describes it as "partial 16S ribosomal RNA". It matches the Rfam family "Bacterial small subunit ribosomal RNA", at positions 80 to 334 of the family's 1533-position model. The record is from RNAcentral.